Molecule: ribosomal RNA, 250 nt
Filed under: uncultured Actinomycetes bacterium
Lineage: Bacteria; Bacillati; Actinomycetota; Actinomycetes
Description: uncultured actinobacterium partial 16S ribosomal RNA
Rfam family: Bacterial small subunit ribosomal RNA
Source: RNAcentral
GACGAACGCUGGCGGCGUGCUUAACACAUGCAAGUCGAACGGAAAGUGCCCCUUCGGGGUGGACUCGAGUGGCGAACGGGUGAGUAACACGUGGGUGAUCUGCCCUGCACUUUGGGAUAAGCCUGGGAAACUGGGUCUAAUACCGAAUACACCCUGCUGGUCGCAUGGCCUGGUGGGGGAAAGCUUUUGCGGUGUGGGAUGGGCCCGCGGCCUAUCAGCUUGUUGGUGGGGUGAUGGCCUACCAAGGCGA